Drosophila willistoni is the source of this 95-nucleotide long non-coding RNA. RefSeq lists it as uncharacterized. The record is from RefSeq and is a predicted model, not a curated record. Lineage: Eukaryota; Metazoa; Arthropoda; Insecta; Diptera; Drosophilidae. The transcript has 2 exons.
AGAGCAGCAGCCCUUGCAUAUUACGUUGCAAGAUGUUACGUUUUUUUGGAAAACACGUGAAACGAACUCUAGAUGUUUUCAAUGUUAACGGCGGG